This 21-nucleotide non-coding RNA is filed under the name Caenorhabditis elegans. Lineage: Eukaryota; Metazoa; Nematoda; Chromadorea; Rhabditida; Rhabditidae. The record is from RNAcentral.
UUACUUAUUGUUGGAAAUAGU